Molecule: long non-coding RNA, 10620 nt
Organism: Ostrea edulis (European flat oyster)
Lineage: Eukaryota; Metazoa; Mollusca; Bivalvia; Ostreida; Ostreidae
Exons: 4
Source: RefSeq, a predicted model, not a curated record
UUGUGCAAAAAUACACUACAAACAUUGAUGCAGUUUUCAUUUUUUUUUUUUUUGGUUACUGAUACCUCCAUUAGACAAAAUAAAAAUAGUUUCGGGAUUUUACUUUAAAUCUUAUAUUUUCAGUGAUUUGUUUCCUUAAAAUAAACACAUAGAAAUGAACACAAUAAUAUAUGAAAGUUUCCUGCAUGGUGUUAAAUUAUCCCGUUUUUUAAUAUUUCCUCAUGUUAUUUUUUUUCCGGGAUAAUUGGUAUCAAAAUUAAUGAUAAUUUGGUUCACCGUAGUUAUUCUGACAAUUAUGUUUUGUUUUAAAUUCAAAACAUUGAUAUUUCUCAAUCUACAUUUGUGUAUUUUAUGUAGCGUAUCCUUUAAGGAGUUAUGAGCUUGAUCACUGCUCGUUAUCUUCAUCUCUUCAUUGUAAAACAGACUCGCACCGUGUUGAGUGUUUAUUGAACGUGUAAACGUUUGUACGUUAUGUCGUUUUUCCUCGAUGAUGAAAUAAAAAAAAAUGUAUGUGUACGCAAGUAAUUUGAAACCUGGACCGCAUUUUCAGAUACCACAUACAUAUGUAUAUGUUCAGAGUUAUAACGCAGAUGACAUCUUAUACAAUUUUUUAUAUUUCAUUUCACUUACAACUUCCGUUGUUGUUAUAUAUUUGCCGAAUGUUAUCAAUGAUGUCGUGUUACAUGAACCUUUCUGAAGAUGACUGAAUUCUUUUUUCUAAGCACACUAGUAACCUUUACCAAAUUGUUUUCUGAUGCAUCUGGUAGGGGGAAGUGUAGCUGGUAAGUAUCUUUUUGUACAUUCUAAUAUAUAUUCUAAGGUUUCAUACAAUCAGUGAAAACAUUAGCCUUUGAAUUAUUUAAUAUAAUGAGUAUAUUCCGGUUGUGAUGUCGGCUUUGAUAAUACAAUUUUCACUUCCAUGAUGAUUUCGAUUUUCGAUCUAAGCACCAUACAUCUUUUAAAUAGUACAAAACCGAGAACGAUACAAGGGGCCUCUUGAAACACAGGGGUGGGAGUAUUUAGGAAUUUAAUAAAAUAUUUAUAUUUAUCAAAGACCCAAAAAUAAUACCGUACGGUUUCUUUAUGGAUCAUUGGAUGUGGUUGGAGCUUAUCUAUGACCAUUGUUAUCUACCUGGAAAAUACCUGGCCGAAAGAUCAGGGUGCUGUGCAUACUUUUGAUAUACUCAGGAAAUGUUUCAGGGCCGUCUGUAGAAUUUCUGUGGUCAUAGUGCUUGUAUAAUGAGCUGACACAAAAGUCGACACCUAACCUCAGUUGUGGACAGGUCAAUGCUAUCAAAACUCUGAUAUAUUGGGCUUCCUCAAGAUCGGAAGAAUGCCGGUAAUUAUUGGCCGCUAUUGUUAUCAAAACACCUCUCUGGGAUCUCUCCAGAUCACGCUCUCUGCAGAUAUCAAUCCACCUGAGAUCUAUUGUUAAAAGUCUAAGUGACAGGCGGUUUUUCAUCGAUCAAAAUACAUGUAAUAUUUGGGGGUGUUAACUUAAAUUUUGGUCUUUACCAUGCAUUUAGCUUCUUUUGUAAUCAUUACACUGUACUCACCCUGUGACUGUGGUUGAAAUUUGAACCAAAGAUUAGAGUCAUAAUGAAGAUUGUGUGAUUGAAAAAAAGUUACAUAACCCCAUUUAAGCUCUUAAAAUAUUUAUUUCUACAACAAAUAAUCAAAAUUACUUCCACGACUGCGAAGUAUGUUAUAUACACAUUGGACAUGCCAAUGUACACGUUAACGUCUGAUGGAAUUUCCUCAUUUAAAAACUAAAGAGGAAAGAUCAAACGGAGAUAUAUAAAAAUGUCUUACAAACAUAUAAUUUUCUUAUUUAAAGUUGAUUUUAUUUCACUUUCAUAUGGAGGGCUGAUGAUGGUUGCUGUUCUCGAGAGGUGUGGGAUCCUAAGGUCAACCAGUGUGUUCAAAUCUCUUUUCCUUCACCAACUACGAAUUACUUGACUGAACUGCAAAGAGAAGAUUCAGGUAAAUAUACAAAGAUCCCACUAUGUAUGCCUUGUUACAAUUUGAAAUAUAUGGGUUUUUUAUAUUGUGUAAAUUUAUAAGUCCAUGUAUACAACAGCAUAUACAUUUAUGCAUAGAGCAAAUCUGUACUUGUAUACAUACAAGGACUCUUUUUGUUCAGAGAUAAACGAGUAUAUAUCACAUUUACGUUCCUUAGCCAAGUAAGUUUUUGUUUGUGUAAUUGUAAAGCACUUUCUUUGGAGAAUGUAGUCAAAUUAAUGACAGCUGCUUAGGCUUUGAGAUAAGCUUAUGCUUGCCAGUCCUAAAUUAUAUAUAAAAAAAAUGACUGAUAUAAAUAUGAUUUUGAAAAAGUCUUAACUGACAGUGAAUUUCAUUCUGCCUUCAUUUACGAAUAAAUCUCAACUUUAUUGUUUCAACAUAUAUAUCUAAUAGCUUUCAAAAAGGAGACAUUUAGAUGAUCAGUAGUGGGAAGUCACUCCUAAUCAUAGAGGAGAAAGAAACUAUUUAUAUUGGAAGUUGAUCUGUCCUGGGGAAAUUAUUGUAGGUUACCAUCAAAGGCGGAUUUAACGAACAAUUCCAAUAAUACAAAAUUAACAGUAGCACAGCCAUGUGCAACUGGAGAUAACUGAGUUGGAAUCAAGUGACUCGGAGAGUAAACAUCCCCUGCCGACAGAUCAAACCCGCCGUGAACCUUAUAUCUUGAUUAAGUAAACAUAGUACCCCGUAGUUAAAACCAGUGUGAAGAGAACGGCCUAACAAUUUGUAUGAAACACGUCAAAGAGCGUUUGACCCAACGACAGGUUGUACCGGUAAUUGUGCAGUAAAUUUUGAAAUUUAAGAGGGAUGUAUAAGUUUAAAAUUUCUGAAAAUAAUUAGAUAUUCUAUUAUAGAUAAUUUUAUCAAAUGAAAUGCGAAAUUCCACAUUGCAAAGUUUUUACAGAAGCACAUGUUCAUUAUAUAUGCACUUUACAUCAUAUCCAAAAAAUCAUAUGAUCAUGGUGGUUGUGACCGAUGUAUAGGAGAUGCUUACCCUUCUCAGGCACCUGAUCACACCUUUGGUAUUGUCAGGGUUUGCGUUUUUUCUACUCUUAAUUUAAUAGUCUUUAUAUGGGAUUCAUGAGAUUAAUCUCUGUUCGAUAUCGUCACUUUUUUAUAAACAUAGAUGUUAAAACCAAACAAUUCAGCAUUAUAUCAAACAUGUUCUUUUAAUCUGUUCCAUUGUCGGUUCUUAGGAUUACUUAGCAGUAUCCUAGUAUCACCGCCGCGAUGGUGCAGGGUUCAACCCGCAUGAGGAAGGUCGGAGUUCGAAUCCCGGUCGCGACAGACCUAAGUCGUUAAAACAGUUAGUGACAGUUCCAUCUCCAAAUGCUCGACAUUAAGUAGGAAUGCCACGGGUCCUCGGAAAUGACCAUAAAAACGGAUGUUCCGUGUCAGAGUACUGAACAUGUUGCUGUGGCACGCUAAAAAACCCACAAUGUUCAAUACCAGUAAGCGUCGAGCAUAGGUCUAAAUUUGAAGCCCUUCAUCGGUAUUGGGGACGUCUCCAUAUGAGUGAAAAGUUCUUGAAAGGGACGUUAAAGAAGAUACAAUCAGUCAAUAUGUGUAUGUCUCUAAACGGAAUCAAUAUUCGUGGGCAUUUCCCUGCCUUCAAUAAAAUUUCAAAACAUGCUACUGAGAAGUAAAUUGAUGUUACAGCGACGGUGUUAUGAUGCAUAUUCAGUAGCAAAACCUGAGCUAUGGAAUGUUGGAGCUUUUUCUUAAACAUGGGUUUUUGUUUUAUCUCAAUAUUGUUGAAAAUAGAUUGUCAUUACAAGUGUGGUGUUAAAAUGUACCAGAAUAGCAACAGUUAAUUUUUGCGGAAAAGAAAUGUUAAAAAAUAAUGCGUAAUCACUAGAUAUAUACAAUAAAUAUAAAAAUGUUUUAAAUAAAACCAGUGUGAGAAUGCCUUUUGAAGAAGUAAACCAUUCUACAUAUUUUGUUUGAUACUAGCAUUGUAAGAAUUAUUUCUUGACAAAAAUGAUUGAGGUAAUGUUAUGGUCACCCGAAGUAUAUGAAGACACCUCACAAAUAUGUUAUUAUGUCACGAUUUAGAUUUAUUUCAAGAACUCUUGGCGAUAUCAAAACCAUUCAUUUGACCAAAAUUAUCGAUUAUCGUCAAAUGUGAGUGCAUUUUGGGGAAACAGAGAUCCAUUAUACGUGAAAGAGCACCAGAAUAAUUCGUACCUCUCUCAAGGAAGACUUGCAGGUAUACAUGUUUUGUUUCUUCCUUUCACAGAAACUAUCAGUAAAUGAUCCUUAUCUUUUAUUUUAAAAGAGUGCAUAAUGCUAUAAAAUGAAAUAUGUGGUAUGCAUAUUAUUUAUUUUAAAGUGUACAUAAUGCUACAAUUGUGGAUACCAUAGUAAGCAACGUAGUUUGUAGAAAAUAUAUGAUCUACUUAGUAUAUUUUGCUAUCACUAUAUGACUACAUGAAAGGUGAAGAUAACGAACUGUGAUCAAUUUCAUAACUCACUUAAGGAAUACAAAAUGAGAGUUGGGCUAACAUGGACCAGAUAUAUACCUGAACACACAUAGUAGUUUCACAUUCUUCUGUCCUUUAUCAUAAACUCUAGCUUUAAUCGAAAUUCAUAAUAUGAAAGACAAAUAACUAGCAGUUCCGAGAAAUUAAAACAUGGAUAAUUCAAAUCAAAGUGUCUCUUUCCCUUUAUCAUUUGAUAUGCAUUGAUUUGAGGACCUACCAGGCGUUGAGUUUGACUGGAUGAAACAUUCGUUUGAUUUCUGUAUCAAAGGAAAACUCAUUAUGACGUCAAAUUGUGUCUUACAAUAUCAAAGGAAUUUUGAAAGAAGCACGUUAUUCCAAGGUUUUGGUACAUACUCUUCAUUUAUAUACAGAUGAAAUUAAAUGACAAGAAAUAAAUCCGAUACGUCUUUGUUAGAUAAAGGUAUCAAUUGUGGAAAAAGACUGGGGAUUAUUUAAACAAUGCACUACGAGCGUUGAUGCAGAUUUCAUUUUUUUUCUCACUUAUAGUUCUAAUAAACGAACAAAAUAGAUCCAGUACACCGAUCCCCUGUCGUAGCACAAAUCCCGCACACCAUGGUUACGUCAUAGCAACAACGGAUACUCGGAGAAAAAAGUAAACAAUGGUGGUAACUGCAAACGCUUCCGAGAUAAUCCCGGUUAAAAUUUUACUAUGCUACUUUAAAAGUAUCAUCAUUUCAUCCCGAGUGAGGGACAGGGGUUGAUAUUAUUAAUUCAUUUUUAUUUAUAUGCUCUCAAAUUAUUUCAUUCCACUCACAAAAGCGUAGAAAUCGCAUCGAAACGACAGGCCCCGCGUUAGGAUGACGCUCCUCACUCGGGUUUUGUAAUGCUCUUUCCAUGCAGGCUGUUGAGAUUUGUUUUUCAUACAUUUAUUCAAUAAUUUACAUUCGUUGUCAGUAGACUCAUUAAAAUUUGUUAACAUGUCGUAAUGAUUACCAUUUCGAUAACUUCGAUAAGCUGAUGACCACCAACUUACAGACUGAAGACGUGUUCAGAAUUGGCUAUGAAAAUGAAUGCUCCCGCAUUCUUCUCUUUUGAAUCAUUAGAUCUAAAUGUAUAUACAUUUAUAGUAAUCUUGGCCCCAUAAUAGAUUGCAGUUUUCUGCAUUUUAUUAUAAUUCUGUAAAAUACGAACAGCAACAAUUAUAUUACACUACCCUACACAAUGGUAUUGUUCAUUACACUUUCUGGAACAUACAUGUAUUCUUAUAUACAUAUACAUUGGUAUAAAAUGUACAGCAAUGUAAAAAGGGGUGGAUUUAGAUGGACCCCUUCCCCCAUUUUUGUGACAGAUUAAAAGUAGAUUUGACAUUAUACUUAUAGACAAGUGCAUAGAAAUAAACAAAUAAAUUAUUUCUUGUUAUUUGGUGAUUUUACUAUGUGUAAAUAAUAGCAAGAAUAACCCAUAGAAUUAACAACAACAAACAAUCUUCAAAACCCUCGAGUUCCUAACCCAUUGGGUUCCAUUUUGAAAAAUCUUAGAUCUGUCACUAGUAAACAUUUUAAACUAAACCAGACUUCUCCAAAGCUGCCGUGCAACUUAGUUUGCCUCAUUAGUGGUAGGGGCAAUUACACUAAAUGAGCUUCUAAUUUAGAAGAAAAAAAUCGUAGUCAUACAAACUUAUAGGUCAUUCUUAUUCCUUUGUAAUAUGAAACAUUUUUCCUCUUAUUUUAAAUGGUUUUUAAAAUAUAACCUUAAGGGUUUUUCAACCUGCACCUGUUUCAUCCAUGACAUUUUCAAAGUCCAAACCUACACCAAAAAAGAAAUUCGUUUAUGUACAUAAAUAAAAUCAAAUUAAAUCAUAAACACCAAUGCUAUUCACUAGGAAUUCCAUUUAUUUUGAUAAAAUACAUGUAGCAAUAUAAUGAUCACAAUCACUAAUGAUUUUGAACCUUUGAGAUGAAAGGUGUUGCGAAAUUUUCCCUUAAUUCAUAUAAAAUUCCGGAUGCAAAUUUUGAUAUCAAAAUGCUUAAACGUUAUCUACUACUGAGUAGAUUAUAUUUGCUGUGAAAAUAGACUUGUAUAAGAAUAUGUAGCCAGGUUAUUGUGGCCAAUUAGGUUCUAACUGUCCUGUCCUCGUUUUUUCUUCUUUUAUUUGUGAGUUCUUGUUGUAUGGACUGUUAAAUUUACAUACCUAUAAAAUACCUCAUAUCCAAUCAACAAACAACAUUUACUUACAAAACUAUUUUGUUGCAAUUGCAUAUUGGUUGACAACAAUCCAGUCUGACUAAAACCAGCCCCUACUAAUUCACUUCGUUGUACAACGAAGUGGAUUAAUAGGGACUAGCUUUAGUCAGACUGACAACAAUCAAUUGGAGGCAUUUAUCCUUCAAAUAUCAUGUCCGUAUUAGUCUCUUCAUCCAGAUUGAUUAUUAAUAAGAACAAGAUGCUUUUUGAAGUGACUUCAAUAAAUAUAUAUGGUCUUUGAAAUUCAGUAAUUCAAAACAUGUUAUAAUAUUGAACAGUUUCGGUAUUUUGUACCUACUUUUUUCUCUCAAAAUUUCUGAUAAAGUAUACAUUAAUAUUUAAAAUUAAGAGUCAACAUAUCUAAACUAUGUAGUGGCAGUAAUUUUUCUACUGAAAAGUUUAGAGUACUUUAAUUGGUUUAUUGUUCUAUUCAAUCUCCAUAUGUAUCCAUGCAGGUCCAUUUCCUCCUAUUUAACAUCACUCAGGACUUGGUAUCCAGCUAUUGGCCCAUCAUAUUGCCAAGAAAACAAAACAAAAGUACUUUUAACAGAUCCCGGUAGGGUCAUCGUUUAGGUUUUGUUGAAAUAUUCGCUACUAAGUUUAACUGAUACAUUUAAACAAAGGCAUGCAUUAAUUAUCAAUGCCAUUACCAUGUAAUAUAUGGCUAACAAGCACAGGACGACCUGUAAACACUGGAUUUUAGUUGCAUGUGUUUUACAACUUUGCAAACAUGUAUGUAGUGCGCAGUGCAGUGUAGUGUGACAACGUAUCAACCCAUUUCCCCCUAACAAUGACAAAUUCUCUUCUUUUUUCAGCUAUGAUAUACACUUCCUCUGACCCUCCCCUUUUGUGACAGUUGUAGAAAGAGUGUACAUAAAAAUUGAAGGUAUUUGAAUCAGCAAGCGACCCUUCCCCCUCCAUGAAAAUGAUGUUAUGUGCCUGGUUGAUAAAUGUCUACGUAGUACAAUGAACAACAAAGCAUCUUACCGAGUUCAUUGAUACGUUUCUUAGUUAUUUUGUGGACAUUUAACUGAUUUUGAGGCAUGUGACAUAAUGCAAUCAACGUAAUGUACACUUCUGCAAGUCUGUCUUUUGUUGAUGGAAAUGGUGUGAAUUUGACUUCAUUGAGUUUGUCUGGAUACCUACUGUGUGAUUUACAGAUUCGAGAGAAAAAUGUUUAAUCAAACCUUAUACAAAAAGAUGCGUACACACUGUAUUAUUAACGCAUGAUUGGUCGAUACAUUUCUCUCUUUACUUUACAAAACAAUGAAGGAUGUCCGAUGUUUGUCCGAGGCUCGUUGUUGUGGGCGGACCUUAUAUUUUCAGUACAUUUUAUUGGUCAAAAGAUAAGGUCACGAAGUUCAGUGGAUCGGUGUUUUAUAUGUCAGGGAAUGCACUUUGAAUUUUCUAUUUCCAGUGAUUCAUUUCCUUAAAAUAGAUGCAUGCAUUUAUGAAAGUUUCCUGUUUGAUGUUAAAUUAUCAAAACAUAAUUUCGUAAUGACAUUUUUUUUGAAUGAGUGGUAUAAAAAUCAAUGAUAACUUUGUUCACCGUAGUGAUUCUGACAAUUAUGUGGUUUUUCUUUCUUCAAAACAUUAAUGGUUCACAGUCCACAUUUAUGUGUUUAUUGGACGUGUAAGCUAUUGUACAUCAUGUCGUUUUUCCUCGAUGAUGAAAUUUUGAAACGAAAUGUAUGCGUACGCAAGGUAUUAAAACGUAUGCUCUAACUCAGGGCCUACUCAUAUUCUUGUAUUUCCAGAUACCACAUACAUAUGUAUAUGUUUAGAGUUAUAAUGUAGAUUACAUCAUAUACAGUUUCUAUAAUUCAUUUCACUUACAACUUCCGUUGUUGUUAUACAUUUGCCGAAUGUGUUCAAUGGUGACGUGUCACAUGAACCUUUUUCAAGAUGAUUGGAUUCUUUUUUCUAAGCACACUUAUUUUCACCAACUUGUUCUCUUUUGCAUCUGGUAGAAAUGACUGUAGCUCGUAAGUAUCUUUUUGUAUAUUCUAAUGAGUAUCACAGGGUUUCUCACAAUCACUGAGAAUAUUAGCCUUUGAAUUAUUCAAUAUAAUGAGUAUGUCCCGGUUGUGAUGUUGGCUUUCAUAAUACAUUUUUCAGUCCCAUGAUGAUUUCGACUUUUGAAUUGAUCUAAGCAUCAUGCAUUUUAUAAACAGUGCAAAACCGAGGACAAUGUAAAAGGUAUCUUGAAACAGGGGGGGGGGGGGUCGGACAGGUAUCGGAGCUCUUAAAUAUUUAUUUCUAUAACACAUAUUUAAAAUUACUUUCACAACUGCGAAGUACGCUAUCGACACAUUCGGCACGAACACUGCAUAUGUACACGUUAAAGCUGUUAACCUGGGUGUAAUGGAAAUUAUCAUGCCUAGCUGAAACCAGACUACAAAGCUGUCUGAAGAUUCCCCAUCUAAAAAGUAUAGUGUAAAAGUCAAACGGGGAUAUAUACAAUGUCUUACAAACAUAUUACUUUCUUAUUUAAUGUUGAUUUUGUUUAACUUUCAUAUGGAGGGAUGAUGGUGGCUGCUGUUCUCGAGAGGUUUGGGAUCCUAAUAUAAACCAGUGUGUUCCUUGCAACGUAGGUUAUACCGGAAAAGACUGUAAACAGCAGUGCAGAUACCCCUAUUACGGGAUGUAUUGUUUGAACACGUGUCUCUGCAAUGAGAUGGAUUGUGAUUUCCAAAUCGGAUGUUUACAUUUACAAGGCUCAUCAACAACUCUAGACCAGGUUACGGAUCGGACGGAUGAUAUGAGUAUGCAUACUAUUACAUCUGGUGCUGAGAAACAUCAGGACACGGAAUCAAGUAUGGCAAAGGAUGUCAAUGAAAACCAGUUACUUCACCUCGUGUUAGGAUUUGGCACCGUUUUAUUGAGUUGCACUCUAGCUUAUAUCAUCCUGUGGAUAUACGCAAAAAUAAAGAACAUUCACAGUGAAGACCAAGAGAGACGAUCUUUAUACGCAGAGCCUAACGAUAUUGUGACACUUCACAUAUAAGCACUCUAUUUGAAAUAUAUCUGCUCACCGUGUAUGCAUUUGCUGUAAUGGACCACACUGGAUUUGUGUCAUUCCUGGUAUUUUCGUUCUUUUUUUUCAUUUUAUGAAAAAGUGAAGUUAACAAGGAGUGAUUAGCCUUAGAUAUUCUAUAACAAGUACAACAUUGAAAGUAGGGCCAACACGGUCCACUAGAAACACGAAAGGUAAGAUCGGGUGCAGAAAGUAGUAAAUAUCCCUCACCAAACAGUCACACACGCAAUGAGAUCCGAUUGUUGAUCAGGUCAAUGAGGUAGUCAGUAUAUUAAAAGAACUGCCUAAUGAUUGUUAUGAAACAAUUCAGAGAACAUUCAACCUACUGUCACAAUGUAUUUAGAAAUAUUAUUAUUACAUGUAUCACGGAAUUUAUGAAAUACUGACUAUAAAUUGGUCUGAGACGUCAAUAUUUUGUCAGUAACUUAAAUCUGAUUAGAAUUUGGUCAUACGUAGAACAUGCUAUCGCGUAUUUAAUCAAUUGAAAUGUUUAAGCAUCAUUUACAGUUGAUAAUGGAGUAUUGCUACACAAAUGUAGGAAAAUGACCUGGGGAAGUUACAGUCAUCCGGUUUGCCAUAAAAUAGACUUGAUAGUGUGUUACUUAUGUCUACUUUAUGGAAUAUACUAGUAUCUAAAUAUUAGCAGAUGCGAACGAUUCUGUGGUGCCUUUAAUUUCGAUUUUAUUUGGAUACAUAAGAUCAACAUAUGAAUAAAUGGGAUUGUGAAGUUUUGGAAUCUUUUCCCAAUCGCCCUAUUGAGUGGAGGUAUUGAUAGCGUUUGAAAUGGAGAGAUGAUGUUGAAGAAUUUCGUCUUUGAAAGGCAACUUUGAGAAUAUGUUAGAUUACCAAAAUGUGAAAAUAAAGCUUCUAAACCAC